This 71-nucleotide transfer RNA is filed under the name Alepocephalus bairdii. RNAcentral's name for it is "tRNA-Ser (UCN)". It matches the Rfam family "tRNA". Rfam says of the family: Transfer RNA (tRNA) molecules are approximately 80 nucleotides in length. Their secondary structure includes four short double-helical elements and three loops (D, anti-codon, and T loops). Lineage: Eukaryota; Metazoa; Chordata; Actinopteri; Alepocephaliformes; Alepocephalidae. The record is from RNAcentral.
AAGAAAGUGGCAGAGUGGUUAUGCGACUGGCUUGAAACCAGUACAUGGGGGUUCAAUUCCUUCCUUUCUCG